RNAcentral lists this ribosomal RNA (234 nucleotides) under uncultured bacterium. RNAcentral's name for it is "partial 16S ribosomal RNA". It matches the Rfam family "Bacterial small subunit ribosomal RNA", at positions 104 to 334 of the family's 1533-position model. The record is from RNAcentral.
CGGGACGGGGUGAGUAAUGCCUGGGAAACUGCCUGAUGGAGGGGGGUAACUACUGGAAACGGUAGCUAAUACCGCAUAACGUCGCAAGACCAAAGAGGGGGACCUUCGGGCCUCUUGCCAUCGGAUGUGCCCAGAUGGGAUUAGCUAGUAGGUGGGGUAACGGCUCACCUAGGCGACGAUCCCUAGCUGGUCUGAGAGGAUGACCAGCCACACUGGAACUGAGACACGGUCCAG